This 1178-nucleotide ribosomal RNA is filed under the name Vagococcus sp. YS32. RNAcentral's name for it is "bacterial SSU rRNA". It matches the Rfam family "Bacterial small subunit ribosomal RNA", at positions 49 to 1233 of the family's 1533-position model. The record is from RNAcentral. Lineage: Bacteria; Bacillati; Bacillota; Bacilli; Lactobacillales; Enterococcaceae.
CUAUACAUGCAAGUCGAACGCUUUGAUUUUCACCGGAGCUUGCUCCACCGAAAAUCAAAGAGUGGCGGACGGGUGAGUAACACGUGGGCAACCUGCCCAACAGAGGGGGAUAACACUUGGAAACAGGUGCUAAUACCGCAUAAUUUGUUUUCCCGCAUGGGAGAAUAAUAAAAGACGCUUCGGUGUCACUGUUGGAUGGGCCCGCGCUGCAUUAGUUAGUUGGUGGGGUAAUGGCCUACCAAGACCGUGAUGCAUAGCCGACCUGAGAGGGUGAUCGGCCACACUGGGACUGAGACACGGCCCAGACUCCUACGGGAGGCAGCAGUAGGGAAUCUUCGGCAAUGGACGAAAGUCUGACCGAGCAACGCCGCGUGAGUGAAGAAGGUUUUCGGAUCGUAAAACUCUGUUGUUAGAGAAGAACAAGUGGGAGAGUAACUGUUCCCACCUUGACGGUAUCUAACCAGAAAGCCACGGCUAACUACGUGCCAGCAGCCGCGGUAAUACGUAGGUGGCAAGCGUUGUCCGGAUUUAUUGGGCGUAAAGCGAGCGCAGGCGGUUUCUUAAGUCUGAUGUGAAAGCCCUCGGCUCAACCGAGGAAGGUCAUUGGAAACUGGGGAACUUGAAUGCAGAAGAGGAGAGUGGAAUUCCAUGUGUAGCGGUGAAAUGCGUAGAUAUAUGGAGGAACACCAGUGGCGAAGGCGACUCUCUGGUCUGUAAUUGACGCUGAGGCUCGAAAGCGUGGGGAGCAAACAGGAUUAGAUACCCUGGUAGUCCACGCCCGUAAACGAUGAGUGCUAAGUGUUGGAGGUUUCCGCCCUUCAGUGCUGCAGUUAACGCAUUAAGCACUCCGCCUGGGGAGUACGGCCGCAAGGCUGAACUCAAAGGAAUUGACGGGGGCCCGCACAAGCGGUGGAGCAUGUGGUUUAUUCGAAGCACGCGAAGAACCUUACCAGGUCUGACAUCCUUUGACCACUCUAGAGAUAGAGCUUUCCCUUCGGGGACAAGUGACAGGUGGUGCAUGUUGUCGUCAGCCUCGUGUCGGAGAUGUGGGUAAGUCCGCAACGAGCCCACCCUAAUGUUAGUGCAUCAUCAGUUGGCACUCUAGCGGACUGCGUUACAACCGAGAGUGGGAUACGUCAAUCUCCUGCCUUAGAACUGGCUACCCCGUGCUUCACCUG